Molecule: ribosomal RNA, 465 nt
Filed under: uncultured bacterium
Lineage: Bacteria
Description: partial 16S ribosomal RNA
Rfam family: Bacterial small subunit ribosomal RNA
Source: RNAcentral
GACGAACGCUGGCGGCGUGCUUAACACAUGCAAGUCGAACGGAAAGGCCCUGCUUGCAGGGUACUCGAGUGGCGAACGGGUGAGUAACACGUGGGUGAUCUGCCCUGCACUUCGGGAUAAGCCUGGGAAACUGGGUCUAAUACCGGAUAGGAGCCAUUCUUAGUGUGGUGGUUGGAAAGUUUUUUUGGUGUGGGAUGAGCUCGCGGCCUAUCAGCUUGUUGGUGGGGUAAUGGCCUACCAAGGCGGCGACGGGUAGCCGGCCUGAGGGGGUGGACGGCCACAUUGGGACUUAGAUUCGGCCCAGACUCCUACGGGAGGCAGCAGUGGGGAAUAUUGCACAAUGGGCGCAAGCCUGAUGCAGCGACGCCGCGUGGGGGAUGACGGCCUUCGGGUUGUAAACUCCUUUCGCUAGGGACGAAGCUUUUUGUGACGGUACCUAGAUAAGAAGCACCGGCUAACUACGUG